UGGAAGUGCAGGAGACGACUCUGGUGCAGCAAUUAAGAAAGUUAGUGAGGUGACAGCACCAGAAAAAGCGCGCACAAGGUUUGCUGUGUCUUCAGGAUUACUGUUAUUAAGCAGUGUAAAAGUCUGAAAGUGUCAGGUGCAGAUUCGAGCCUCGCAAAUGUUGUCUAAAGGUGAAAAAGACGUGCAAACUGCGCGUCUGCUGCCGGUGAUGUGGGUUUUAAGAGAAGACUUUCUGAAGAAGAGAAGAAUGAAGACUGACAAACUGAUGAAGUGAUGCAGUUAGUUUUGGUAUCAUGUCCAUGGCCAUGCAUCUCCACUGCCGAGAGAGACCGAGAGCACUGCAGCGUGGGAGGGCUGUGACAGAGAUGACUCAGCUCUCUGUUGCCGGGGCUGAGGUGCGGGGCUGAGAAACCGAUUCACCACAGGACCAUCAGGCUGGUUUCCCCCAACCUGGCCAGGCGUAGGAAAACCACCUCGGCUCAUCUGCUGAAUUGUUGCAGAGUUAGGCUGGGAUCAUGACAUAAUCGUCAUGAGAUGGGAAGGCUGGUGACCGCAGGAAGCGACAAAAGAGGUGGCGUUGUGUGUUGUGGCUGGCAGCUGCUGGUUCUUGGCAAAAUUUAGGCAAAAAAAGUGCUGUUAAAUCACCACAGGGAAUCAUUUACUCAUAUGUUGGAAGCAAGAACAAAUUCAAGAGGUUUCAAUGGGCAGUAAGUAAGACAUUUGUCACAUUGUACCAAAAUAAUCAUGUAACACCUGUGGGAAGCUGAGGGUUUUUUUUGUUUUGUUUUGUUUUUGGCUUACCAAACUGUCCUUCCGCUUGUGGGUUGUUUUGGAGCAAAAUCUCCACACCCAGUGAAGUCAUGCUGAUGCUGUUGAAAUCCCAGUUUGUGGUAGCACAGCUGGUAACGCACAAAAAGAUUAAUGUAAAGUCAAGCUUAGAAAACCAGUUGAAAGUGCUGACAUGGGCUUUUUACACUGUAU
Molecule: long non-coding RNA, 981 nt
Organism: Monopterus albus (swamp eel)
Lineage: Eukaryota; Metazoa; Chordata; Actinopteri; Synbranchiformes; Synbranchidae
Exons: 5
Source: RefSeq, a predicted model, not a curated record